Molecule: transfer RNA, 69 nt
Filed under: Bos taurus (domestic cattle)
Lineage: Eukaryota; Metazoa; Chordata; Mammalia; Artiodactyla; Bovidae
Also listed under: 4 other names
Rfam family: tRNA
About the family: Transfer RNA (tRNA) molecules are approximately 80 nucleotides in length. Their secondary structure includes four short double-helical elements and three loops (D, anti-codon, and T loops). Further hydrogen bonds mediate the characteristic L-shaped molecular structure. tRNAs have two regions of fundamental functional importance: the anti-codon, which is responsible for specific mRNA codon recognition, and the 3' end, to which the tRNAs corresponding amino acid is attached (by aminoacyl-tRNA synthetases). tRNAs cope with the degeneracy of the genetic code in two manners: having more than one tRNA (with a specific anti-codon) for a particular amino acid; and 'wobble' base-pairing, i.e. permitting non-standard base-pairing at the 3rd anti-codon position.
Source: Rfam by way of RNAcentral
CCUGGUAGCUCAGACGGUAAAGCAUCUGCCUGCAAUGCGGGAGACCUGGGUUCUAUCCCAGGGUCAGGA